AUAACUAGUUAUAAGACAAAGAAGAAUGUUGAAUUUGUAAGGUACUAGUGUGAAUGGAAUGUCAACUCAGGCUUGUUCGAUCACUGUGAUAUUCUGUGAUCACGCGGAAAAGGCACAAAAGGGGAUGGUGUGGCAGUGGCUCUGUGGAAGGAAACGCAGAAAAGGGAUGCAAGGAUUAUUCUUUUCCGCGUGUCAGAUUAGGGAUUUUUGCGACCGAUGAUUUCUGAUUAACAACAAAAUCUGUCGGAAAAUUCCGACGGGAAUAAUGUUUCCGAUGGACUUCCGUCGAAAAUCCCGACGGAUUAAGUAUAUCGGAAAGUUCCUUUCAAUAUUAAAAUAAAGUUUGAACAAAUUUCCGAGGGAAUUAGAUGUCGGAAAUUCCGUCGGGAAAAUUCGUCAAUGUUAAAAGGUAGGCAGUCAGCCUUUCUCAGUUUCAAAUCCGAAAAACAGAAAAGAGAGAGAGAGGAAGAGGAACGCGAACGCCGCCUUCUCCGAAUCCUCCGCCGCCGGCAGCCGCGACGAGCCUCCACCUGCCCAGCCCCUCUAAGUUGUAAUCAUGAAACGAAGAGAGCGUAGCUGGAUGUAUGACAGAUUGGAUGGGUAUUCUAUUAAGCCCGAGUUCUUGAAAGGGGUAGAGGAAUUCAUGCAAUAUUGCAAAGAUCAUCCUGAGAGCAGUAACCCCAAUGAAGUUAGGUGUCCUUGUGUUAAAUGCAAGAACUUACGUCUUCAUCCUCCGGACAUGGUUAGAAUUCAUUUGUAUGGCAAAGGAUUCGUUCCUAACUAUUAUGAGUGGAUGUGUCAAGGGGAAGGGUUUCCUACUACAUCUAAAGAGAAAUCCAAUGAAUUUCGUGAAAUGGUUGUGGACGCUCUUGGUGAUCAUAACCAAGAUCAAUUGGGCACCGAAGCUUCAAAGGAGGAUCCUAACACACCAUUAGAACAGCAUCUUGAUUUGGUGAAGGCAUCUGAACAGCCAUUGUAUGAAGGGAGUUCAAUGCCUAUUUUACCCCCCUAUCAAAGAACUAAGAGGGUAAGGAUUAAGGAGUCUAAGGACAUGACUGUGUCCGAGGAAUAAAAAGUAUAUGUACGUGAAGUAAAACUGGAAUAUCAGUCUUGAGUCGCGUAUUUCUCAUAAAGUUCUAUGUGGGAAAGAAAACCACGACUCUAUCCUAAAAUAAGGUUUUUUUACUGAGAUUCCACCUUUUUAUCCUUUACUUUGGAGGUCUUCAGAAGAAGGAAAAAUACCGCGUUUUUAAUGUUCUUUAGAUCAGAUUCAUGCAGUGAAUGUGGCAAAUAGACAUAGAUUCUAUGACCUUUGAUAUGCUACAGUUAUCAUUAGUCAAUAUUCCUUUUGUAUGUCAUCAACUUUCCUCAUAAGAAGAAUUGGUGGUGUGGAAGAAUUAGAUUUUAUUAGUAAUGAUGUAUUAAGACUCUAUUCUCAAAACUCUCCAAUGAGUUAUUAUGAAAUACCUGUUUAUUGCCUUGAGUAAAAGAUACAGUGUUUUCACUCGAUGUAAAGUUAGCCUUCUGAUCAACAGCCCCAACAGGAUGA
Chenopodium quinoa (quinoa) is the source of this 1549-nucleotide RNA transcript. RefSeq lists it as uncharacterized. NCBI's taxonomy places the organism in Eukaryota, Viridiplantae, Streptophyta, Magnoliopsida, Caryophyllales, Amaranthaceae. The transcript is spliced from 3 exons. The record is from RefSeq and is a predicted model, not a curated record.